This 1522-nucleotide ribosomal RNA is filed under the name metagenome. Its description in RNAcentral is "bacterial SSU rRNA". It matches the Rfam family "Bacterial small subunit ribosomal RNA". The record is from RNAcentral.
AGAGUUUGAUCAUGGCACAGAUUGAACGCUGGCGGCAGGCCUAACACAUGCAAGUCGAACGGUAACAGGAAACAGCUUGCUGUUUCGCUGACGAGUGGCGGACGGGUGAGUAAUGUCUGGGAAACUGCCUGAUGGAGGGGGAUAACUACUGGAAACGGUAGCUAAUACCGCAUAACGUCGCAAGACCAAAGAGGGGGACCUUCGGGCCUCUUGCCAUCAGAUGUGCCCAGAUGGGAUUAGCUAGUAGGUGGGGUAACGGCUCACCUAGGCGACGAUCCCUAGCUGGUCUGAGAGGAUGACCAGCCACACUGGAACUGAGACACGGUCCAGACUCCUACGGGAGGCAGCAGUGGGGAAUAUUGCACAAUGGGCGCAAGCCUGAUGCAGCCAUGCCGCGUGUAUGAAGAAGGCCUUCGGGUUGUAAAGUACUUUCAGCGGGGAGGAAGGGAGUAAAGUUAAUACCUUUGCUCAUUGACGUUACCCGCAGAAGAAGCACCGGCUAACUCCGUGCCAGCAGCCGCGGUAAUACGGAGGGUGCAAGCGUUAAUCGGAAUUACUGGGCGUAAAGCGCACGCAGGCGGUUUGUUAAGUCAGAUGUGAAAUCCCCGGGCUCAACCUGGGAACUGCAUCUGAUACUGGCAAGCUUGAGUCUCGUAGAGGGGGGUAGAAUUCCAGGUGUAGCGGUGAAAUGCGUAGAGAUCUGGAGGAAUACCGGUGGCGAAGGCGGCCCCCUGGACGAAGACUGACGCUCAGGUGCGAAAGCGUGGGGAGCAAACAGGAUUAGAUACCCUGGUAGUCCACGCCGUAAACGAUGUCGACUUGGAGGUUGUGCCCUUGAGGCGUGGCUUCCGGAGCUAACGCGUUAAGUCGACCGCCUGGGGAGUACGGCCGCAAGGUUAAAACUCAAAUGAAUUGACGGGGGCCCGCACAAGCGGUGGAGCAUGUGGUUUAAUUCGAUGCAACGCGAAGAACCUUACCUGGUCUUGACAUCCACGGAAGUUUUCAGAGAUGAGAAUGUGCCUUCGGGAACCGUGAGACAGGUGCUGCAUGGCUGUCGUCAGCUCGUGUUGUGAAAUGUUGGGUUAAGUCCCGCAACGAGCGCAACCCUUAUCCUUUGUUGCCAGCGGUCCGGCCGGGAACUCAAAGGAGACUGCCAGUGAUAAACUGGAGGAAGGUGGGGAUGACGUCAAGUCAUCAUGGCCCUUACGACCAGGGCUACACACGUGCUACAAUGGCGCAUACAAAGAGAAGCGACCUCGCGAGAGCAAGCGGACCUCAUAAAGUGCGUCGUAGUCCGGAUUGGAGUCUGCAACUCGACUCCAUGAAGUCGGAAUCGCUAGUAAUCGUGGAUCAGAAUGCCACGGUGAAUACGUUCCCGGGCCUUGUACACACCGCCCGUCACACCAUGGGAGUGGGUUGCAAAAGAAGUAGGUAGCUUAACCUUCGGGAGGGCGCUUACCACUUUGUGAUUCAUGACUGGGGUGAAGUCGUAACAAGGUAACCGUAGGGGAACCUGCGGUUG